GACGAACGCUGGCGGCGUGCUUAACACAUGCAAGUCGAACGAUGAACCCGGAGCUUGCUCUGGGGGAUUAGUGGCGAACGGGUGAGUAACACGUGAGUAACCUGCCCUGGACUCUGGGAUAAGCGUUGGAAACGACGUCUAAUACCGGAUAGGACCUUGGAUCGCAUGAUCUGGGGUGGAAAGUUUUUUCGGUCUGGGAUGGACUCGCGGCCUAUCAGCUUGUUGGUGAGGUAAUGGCUCACCAAGGCGUCGACGGGUAGCCGGCCUGAGAGGGUGACCGGCCACACUGGGAAUGAGACACGGCCCAGACUCCUACGGGAGGCAGCAGUGGGGAAUAUUGCACAAUGGGCGAAAGCCUGAUGCAGCAACGCCGCGGGAGGGAUGACGGCCUUCGGGUUGUAAACCGCUUUUAGUAGGGAAGAAGGGCUUCGGCUUGACGGUACCUGCAGAAAAAAGACCGGCUAACUACGU
This 471-nucleotide ribosomal RNA is filed under the name uncultured bacterium. RNAcentral's name for it is "partial 16S ribosomal RNA". It matches the Rfam family "Bacterial small subunit ribosomal RNA", at positions 28 to 506 of the family's 1533-position model. The record is from RNAcentral.